RNAcentral lists this ribosomal RNA (490 nucleotides) under uncultured bacterium. Its description in RNAcentral is "partial 16S ribosomal RNA". It matches the Rfam family "Bacterial small subunit ribosomal RNA", at positions 30 to 507 of the family's 1533-position model. The record is from RNAcentral.
AUUGAACGCUGGCGGCAGGCCUAACACAUGCAAGUCGAACGGUAACAGGGAUCAGCUUGCUGAUUCGCUGACGAGUGGCGGACGGGUGAGUAAUGUCUGGGAAACUGCCUGAUGGAGGGGGAUAACUACUGGAAACGGUAGCUAAUACCGCAUAACGUCUCAAGACCAAAGAGGGGGACCUUCGGGCCUCUUGCCAUCGGAUGUGCCCAGAUGGGAUGAGCUAGUAGGUGGGGUAACGGCUCACCUAGGCGACGAUCCCUAGCUGGUCUGAGAGGAUGACCAGCCACAUGGGAACUGAGACACGGUCAAGAGUCCUACGGGAGGCAGCAGUGGGGAAUAGUGCACAAUGGGGGCAAGCCUGAUGCAGCGAUGCCGCGUGUAUGAAGAAGGCCUUCGGGUUGUAAAGUACUUUCAGCGGGGAGGAAGGGAGUAAAGUUAAUACCUUUGCUCAUUGACGUUACCCGCAGAAGAAGCACCGGCUAACUCCGUG